CCCAGCUCCUCAUGCUAGAGCACUUUUUCAAUUUGCUCCCAAACGAGAAGGCGACGACUCAUUCGUAUGUCAAUCCAUAUAAACUAUCAAUGCCAUUGACUGCGCCUACUAUGGUGACCACGGGUAACGGGGAAUCAGGGUUCGAUUUUGUACAGGGACCCUGACAAACAGCUACCACAUGCAAGGAUGGCAGCAGGCACGCAAAUGACCUACUCCCGACGUGGGAAGGUAGUGACG
Pelobates cultripes (western spadefoot toad) is the source of this 237-nucleotide non-coding RNA. The record is from the annotation of a GenBank genome assembly. NCBI's taxonomy places the organism in Eukaryota, Metazoa, Chordata, Amphibia, Anura, Pelobatidae.